UGGGGAAUCUUGGACAAUGGGGGCAACCCUGAUCCAGCGAUGCCGCGUGAGUGAAGAAGGCCUUCGGGUCGUAAAGCUCUUUAGGUUGGGAAGAAGAUUAUGUGGGGAUAAUCCAUGUAGUUUGACUGUACCGACAGAAUAAGCACCGGCAAACUCUGUGCCAGCAGCCGCGGUAAUACAGAGGGUGCGAGCGUUAAUCGGAGUUACUGGGCGUAAAGGGCGCGUAGGCGGUUUGUUUUGUGUGAUGUGAAAGCCCCGGGCUUAACCUGGGAAGUGCAUCGCAAACGGGCAAACUGGAGUAGAUGAGAGGGUGGUGGAAUUUCCGGUGUAGCGGUGAAAUGCGUAGAGAUCGGAAGGAACGUCAAUGGCGAAGGCAGCCACCUGGCAUCAUACUGACGCUGAGGCGCGAAAGCGUGGGGAGCGAACAGGAUUAGAUACCCCCGUAGUCC
This 449-nucleotide ribosomal RNA is filed under the name uncultured bacterium. RNAcentral describes it as "bacterial SSU rRNA". It matches the Rfam family "Bacterial small subunit ribosomal RNA", at positions 355 to 796 of the family's 1533-position model. The record is from RNAcentral.